GGAGAGCUUGCUCUGUAGCAGUUUCCUGCGGGGCAGGUGGGACUGCUCCUUUGGGAGGAAGGAGGAGGCCUAGGCCGCGCCUUCAGG
This 87-nucleotide microRNA precursor is filed under the name Cebus imitator (Panamanian white-faced capuchin). RNAcentral describes it as "miRNA (ENSCCAG00000020445.1)". The record is from RNAcentral. Lineage: Eukaryota; Metazoa; Chordata; Mammalia; Primates; Cebidae.